RNAcentral lists this ribosomal RNA (434 nucleotides) under uncultured bacterium. RNAcentral describes it as "bacterial SSU rRNA". It matches the Rfam family "Bacterial small subunit ribosomal RNA", at positions 958 to 1392 of the family's 1533-position model. The record is from RNAcentral.
AACGCGAAGAACCUUACCUACCCUUGACAUGCCAGGAAGUUGGCCGAGAGGUCGAUGUGCCCGAAAGGGAACCUGGACACAGGUGCUGCAUGGCUGUCGUCAGCUCGUGUCGUGAGAUGUUGGGUUAAGUCCCGCAACGAGCGCAACCCUUGUCAUUAGUUGCUACAUUCAGUUGGGCACUCUAAUGAGACUGCCGGUGACAAACCGGAGGAAGGUGGGGAUGACGUCAAGUCCUCAUGGCCCUUAUGGGUAGGGCCUCACACGUCAUACAAUGGCGCAUACAGAGGGUUGCCAACCCGCGAGGGGGAGCCAAUCCCAGAAAGUGCGUCGUAGUCCGGAUCGGAGUCUGCAACUCGACUCCGUGAAGUCGGAAUCGCUAGUAAUCGCGGAUCAGCAUGUCGCGGUGAAUACGUUCCCGGGUCUUGUACACACCG